This 486-nucleotide ribosomal RNA is filed under the name uncultured bacterium. RNAcentral's name for it is "partial 16S ribosomal RNA". It matches the Rfam family "Bacterial small subunit ribosomal RNA", at positions 30 to 507 of the family's 1533-position model. The record is from RNAcentral.
AUUGAACGCUGGCGGCAUGCCUUACACAUGCAAGUCGAACGGCAGCACGGGUGCUUGCUCCUGGUGGCGAGUGGCGAACGGGUGAGUAAUACAUCGGAACAUGUCCUGUAGUGGGGGAUAGCCCGGCGAAAGCCGGAUUAAUGCCGCAUACGAUCUACGGAUGAAAGCGGGGGACCUUCGGGCCUCGCGCUAUAGGGUUGGCCGAUGGCUGAUUAGCUAGUUGGUGGGGUAAAGGCCUACCAAGGCGACGAUCAGUAGCUGGUCUGAGAGGACGACCAGCCACACUGGGACUGAGACACGGCCCAGACUCCUACGGGAGGCAGCAGUGGGGAAUUUUGGACAAUGGGCGAAAGCCUGAUCCAGCAAUGCCGCGUGUGUGAAGAAGGCCUUCGGGUUGUAAAGCACUUUUGUCCGGAAAGAAAUCCUUGGCCCUAAUACGGUCGGGGGAUGACGGUACCGGAAGAAUAAGCACCGGCUAACUACGUG